UACGUAGGGGGCAAGCGUUGUCCGGAUUUAUUGGGCGUAAAGCGCGUGUAGGCGGCCAGAUAGGUCUGCUGUGAAAACUCGAGGCUCAACCUCGAGCUGUCGGCGGAAACCAACUGGCUAGAGUCCGGAAGAGGAGAGUGGAAUUCCUGGUGUAGCGGUGAAAUGCGUAGAGAUCGGAAAGAACACCAACGGCGAAAGCACUCUGCUGGGCCGACACUGACACUGAGAGACGAAAGCUAGGGGAGCGAAUGGG
Molecule: ribosomal RNA, 253 nt
Filed under: uncultured bacterium
Lineage: Bacteria
Description: partial 16S ribosomal RNA
Rfam family: Bacterial small subunit ribosomal RNA
Source: RNAcentral